Molecule: non-coding RNA, 1331 nt
Organism: Pimephales promelas (fathead minnow)
Lineage: Eukaryota; Metazoa; Chordata; Actinopteri; Cypriniformes; Leuciscidae
Source: RefSeq, a predicted model, not a curated record
ACAGUAAAAUCGCCAGUGUAAAAAUUCCAGUGUUAAAAGUUAUCUAUUCCUAAAGUGUUAAAUUAACAAUCUACAGUGUUAAAGGGUACUCCCCUUCAGUGUAGCCUACAGGGUGCCACAUAGUGUAAUUUUAUUUUUACACUGAAAGUGUAAAAAGACGCGCCGAAUUGUAUUGACUCCGCCCCUCGAUGCUUCUGCCUCACAAGACGACAGCGCCAUUUUAUCUUCAUGCGAGGAGCGAGACGGUAGGUUGAAUUGCCUUUCUCUUUCCUAAUAUUAAAUAGUAACUUACAUGCAUUUGUUUACAUUUUUAGUAAACUAUAGUGGUGAACACAUUUAGAAAUGAUCAACUGCGCGUUUUUGUAUGGGUUAAGGAAGCUCGUCAAGUUCAUGAGAUGCAGAGAUGUACCUAAGUUACAGAAGAAAAAGAAGAAACGUUUCUCAUGCCGAUAAAAUUUGUUAAAUAAAUGAGUUGGAAUGGGCUUACAAUUUGUUUUGUGUAUAUAUAUUCGGCUUAUUUCAUUUUGGUUUGUUGACAGACAUCGUGAAAGUUGCGUUCCCGCCUCCAGUCGCGCCAAGGCCUGGGUUAAAGACGAGCCUGGCGCUGAAGCUGACGAGGAGGUCUGAAGCGGCACCAUUUGGGCUUUUUGAGAGAAUUCUUCAAAUGAUUUUGCCCAGACCCCUGCAGUGUCAAGUGAAGGAAGCUCCUCUCAUGAGAAUGCAAAGAGAAAUGAAGAAAGAAAUAGAAUGCUGAAGAUUAAUCCAUAAUUAAGAUCUCAGCUUAGUUCCUGGAAAUGCUUCAAGCAUGAAGAGCUUCAAGGAACUGAUUGACUCUGCUGUGAAAGAUGAUAAGUGAUGAGAAUGGGGCAGCAAUCUUGCAUCAAUUUGUCUCCUCCUUGAUUUGAUUCCACCACCCUGGAAAGACAUGGAAAGAUGUGCUCAUAUCAAGCUGAACAACACCUUGUUGUCUUCAAAAGGAGACCAGCGUACAAGAACACCUUGAUUGCAUUGAACCGACCACACAGCAUACCUGCUCGCUGCCGGUGGGGAUCAACUCAAAUACUACUAUACCUGCUCGCUGAUGGGACAAAGAGGGACUGCAUUCAUGGAUGCUACACAACUGUUGACAAGUAGAUUUUUGCAAUCUUGUUCAAAUCCACCUGUCAUAUUUGUUAAUGUAUAGGCAAACUGGGUGAUUUUAUGCUUUUUCCCUUUUCUCUUUUUUUUCUCUGCUAAACUCCUAAUGAAUGUGACAAUUUGACUUUUUCCAUAUAUGGCAUAUGUUUUAAAGGGGCCACUUUGCCAUUUGUUGAAUAAACUUUGGAUUUGUA